AGUGAACGCUGGCGGUAGGCCUAACACAUGCAAGUCGAACGGCAGCACAGUAAGAGCUUGCUCUUACGGGUGGCGAGUGGCGGACGGGUGAGAAAUACAUCGGAAUCUACUUUUUCGUGGGGGAGAAAGUAGGGAAACAUACGCCAAUACUGCAUACGACCUACGGGUGAAAGCAUGGGACCUUCGGAUCUUGCACGAUUGAAUGAGCCGAUGUCGGAUUAGCUAGUUGGCGGGGUAAAGGCCCACCAAGGCGACGAUCCGUAGCUGGUCUGAGAGGAUGAUCAGCCACACUGGAACUGAGACACGGUCCAGACUCCUACGGGAGGCAGCAGUGGGGAAUAUUGGACAAUGGGCGAAAGCCUGAUCCAGCCAUACCGCGUGUGUGAAGAAGGCCUUCGGGUUGUAAAGCCCUUUUGUUGGGAAAGAAAAGUAGCAGGUUAAUACCCCGCUGUUCUGACGGUACCAAAAGAAUAAGCACCGGCUAACUUCGUG
Molecule: ribosomal RNA, 492 nt
Filed under: uncultured bacterium
Lineage: Bacteria
Description: partial 16S ribosomal RNA
Rfam family: Bacterial small subunit ribosomal RNA
Source: RNAcentral